This 1329-nucleotide long non-coding RNA is filed under the name Cricetulus griseus (Chinese hamster). RNAcentral's name for it is "lncRNA (ENSCGRG00015038241.1)". The record is from RNAcentral. Lineage: Eukaryota; Metazoa; Chordata; Mammalia; Rodentia; Cricetidae.
GUCAGACUCCCACCUCUCCCGCCUCCACUCCCCAACUUUCACCCUCCAUGCUCCCGCACCGCUGUCAACAGUGCCAGCUCCGCCCUCUCCCUUGCCUCGGCGCCCCCACCACGGCGACGCAGCGGGCUUCUGGGCUCAGGUCCCCGCUCCCGGACUGCUGGGUGCCCCCUCUCCCACCCUGCCCCCCAAACUCGGGGCGCGCAGGGCGCGGUGGCGGCGACAGCGCUUUUCCAGUCUUUCCUCACACCAAGGACCAGGCGGACUCUGCAGAUUGCGUCAACAUUGCGAAAAGAAGAAGGCGGAGCGGUGGCCCCUCCCCCGCCCCUCGGCCGGCUCCCUGGAGAGAAAAGCCCCAGCACACGACCUAACCGCGGAGAAGAGGGAACGAAAGUAAAACGAAAGCACUCCGAGCGCAUCAGCCACAGCCACUUCCCUCAGGGCGUCGGUGGUAGGCCAAAGUGUGGUGGCAAAGUUUGGCCGAGGCGAGUGUAAGCUGUUCCUAGAGGAAGCCCGGGAGUUGCCGGGGUCUGUCCUGGGCUGCCAGGCUUCCUCCACCUCCGGAAAAACCGACAUAGAUUCUAUAUCAACCUUGCAUGGAAAGUGUGGUUCUGGAUCUUGAAAUUGAAGACUGUUUGGGACCCUGCAGAAGUGAAGGAGUGUGGCACAGAGCGAGUUUGGCCUCCUGUGGCAGAUCCCUUAGCGGAGUCUUGGCUAGGAGUGGAGGAGCGCGGCAAGGUCGCGCAAAGGCCUCUUGGGACUCAAGGCCCACGGAAUUCUUGCUCCGCUGAAAUUGGAUAAGCACUCCGCCCACGCGCAAACAACCAACGUUCUAUACAAUUUAAAAGACUUAACGAAACUCUAGGGGCAUCCCUCUCCCCUCAAGGCAGUCACUGCAGCCACAAAGAUGGCCCCGGCAGGUUUGAAAGGGGCGGGUGGGCGGCCUUAUAGACUGCAGACUUUAGCAGUUAAGGGAAGACAUCUUCUCGAGGUGAAGGUAACCAAACACAACUGGGGCGCUCAGGAAUGGCAGCUGGUGUCAAUCUGGUCAGCUGAAAUGUGUCCUUGCUUCCCCUACUUCCCCCACAGAGAGCCGACACAGACAGAUUCCCCUUCAAGUAGCUCACAGUCUUCACUCGAGCCCCGCCUCCAUACUCACUUUUCUUAACACACACUUUAUUCUCUUCACUAACACCUUUAUUGUAAUACUAUCUGUGGGUCUGGGCAGGUGUUAGAAAGACCUGCAGAGGCCAAGUGAGUCGAAAGUGGAAACCGUUUUCUCGAGGGCUCGGUUUGCUCACCCACACCUGAUGAAGGACUUAGCAGACGGCC